Molecule: long non-coding RNA, 246 nt
Filed under: Phoenix dactylifera (date palm)
Lineage: Eukaryota; Viridiplantae; Streptophyta; Magnoliopsida; Arecales; Arecaceae
Description: long non-coding RNA (PDAC_LNC015064)
Source: RNAcentral
AAUAGGGUGGGAUGGGCUAGAACAGAUAGUACACACUUGUGCUUGGGAAGAGUUCAUGUAAUGCCCACCUAUCAUCAGUUGAUCAAUCUUAUGGGACAACGCAUCUACCUUGCUAGACAGGUCCAUGGAAUGACUUAUUUCACAAAUGGUCCCUUUUCUUUGAGAACUCGGGGGUGCUUGACGAGAACAUGAAGCAUGGUGGAGGGAGUUUUCAUUUAGAUUUUCAAAUAAUUGCCAUGCUUCAUG